UAACAAAGAAUGAAAUUACUACUUAUAAAAAGAAAAAGUUAUAUCUAUUAUAUGCAAAGAAGAAGAAAAUAUGGCUCAAGUUCUCAUAUUUGUUUAUGCAAUGCUCAUCAUUAUUUUUCUAUUUCUUGUUGAAACAAGCAAAGCAACUCGCAAUCCUUGCAAAUCUGUCACUGAAUGUCCAGAGGUUGGAGGACAUUUUGCAUUAUGUGUUGAUGGUAUUUGUGAUUAUUGCCCUUUGAUUAUGAUAUGAAUAAAUAAAUGGUUACAUAAAUAAAUAAUUUUAUGUAAAAGGCUCUUUUAUAUCUUAAAGACUCUUACAUAAAUAAAAUAAUAGCUUCAAGCAUUACAUGA
Molecule: long non-coding RNA, 351 nt
Organism: Vicia villosa (hairy vetch)
Lineage: Eukaryota; Viridiplantae; Streptophyta; Magnoliopsida; Fabales; Fabaceae
Exons: 2
Source: RefSeq, a predicted model, not a curated record